CCGGCACGGUGAGUAACACGUAUGCAAUCCACCUGUAACAGGGGAGUAACCCGGAGAAAUCCGACUAAUACCCACUAAUAUGGGCGCUCCGCAUGGAGAGCCCAUUAAAGAGAGCAAUUUUGGUUACAGACGAGCAUGCGCUCCAUUAGCCAGUUGGCGGGGUAACGGCCCACCAAAGCGACGAUGGAUAGGGGUUCUGAGAGGAAGGUCCCCCACAUUGGAACUGAGACACGGUCCAA
Molecule: ribosomal RNA, 239 nt
Filed under: uncultured bacterium
Lineage: Bacteria
Description: partial 16S ribosomal RNA
Rfam family: Bacterial small subunit ribosomal RNA
Source: RNAcentral